AUUGAACGCUGGCGGCAGGCCUAACACAUGCAAGUCGGACGGUAGCACAGAGAGCUUGCUCUCGGGUGACGAGUGGCGGACGGGUGAGUAAUGUCUGGGGAUCUGCCCGAUAGAGGGGGAUAACCACUGGAAACGGUGGCUAAUACCGCAUAACGUCGCAAGACCAAAGAGGGGGACCUUCGGGCCUCUCACUAUCGGAUGAACCCAGAUGGGAUUAGCUAGUAGGCGGGGUAACGGCCCACCUAGGCGACGAUCCCUAGCUGGUCUGAGAGGAUGACCAGCCACACUGGAACUGAGACACGGUCCAGACUCCUACGGGAGGCAGCAGUGGGGAAUAUUGCACAAUGGGCGCAAGCCUGAUGCAGCCAUGCCGCGUGUAUGAAGAAGGCCUUCGGGUUGUAAAGUACUUUCAGCGGGGAGGAAGGCGAUGUGGUUAAUAACCGCAUUGAUUGACGUUACCCGCAGAAGAAGCACCGGCUAACUCCGUGCCAGCCGCCGCAGUAA
RNAcentral lists this ribosomal RNA (504 nucleotides) under uncultured bacterium. RNAcentral's name for it is "partial 16S ribosomal RNA". It matches the Rfam family "Bacterial small subunit ribosomal RNA", at positions 29 to 523 of the family's 1533-position model. The record is from RNAcentral.